This 102-nucleotide ribosomal RNA is filed under the name Vibrio parahaemolyticus. RNAcentral describes it as "partial 23S ribosomal RNA". It matches the Rfam family "Bacterial large subunit ribosomal RNA", at positions 1 to 102 of the family's 2925-position model. Lineage: Bacteria; Pseudomonadati; Pseudomonadota; Gammaproteobacteria; Vibrionales; Vibrionaceae. The record is from RNAcentral. RNAcentral also lists the same sequence under 2 other names.
GGUUAAGCGACUAAGCGUACACGGUGGAUGCCCUGGCAGUCAGAGGCGAUGAAGGACGUGCUAAUCUGCGAUAAGCGCCGGUAAGGUGAUAUGAACCGUUAU